This 223-nucleotide unclassified non-coding RNA is filed under the name uncultured fungus. RNAcentral's name for it is "partial contains 5.8S ribosomal RNA, internal transcribed spacer 2, and large subunit ribosomal RNA". Lineage: Eukaryota; Fungi. The record is from RNAcentral.
AACGCACAUUGCGCCUCUCUCUCGAGAGGCAUGCCUGUCUGAGCGUCGUUAAAACCUAAAUAGAAUCCAAUUGGGUUCUGUAUUGGGCGACUCGCCCCUUUGGGCGUCGCCUCAAAGACAUUGGUCUGAUUAGCGGGUGGGUUCCUCUAGGACAAGCCGCUUUUCAAGCUAAAAAUUCUUUAAAUUAGACCUCAGAUCAGGUAGGAAUACCGCCUGAACUUAA